CACACCAUUCACUUAAUGCACAUUUAAAGCAUAUGGCUUCUCCCAAAGAAUCCUGGGAAGUGUAGUUUGUUAAGAGUGCUGAGAAUUGUAGCUCUGUGAGGGGUAAACUACAAUCCCCAGGAGUUUCCGGGGGGAAAGUCAUGUGUGUUAAUUGUGCUUUAAAUGUAUGGUGUG
Molecule: non-coding RNA, 174 nt
Organism: Podarcis lilfordi (Lilford's wall lizard)
Lineage: Eukaryota; Metazoa; Chordata; Lepidosauria; Squamata; Lacertidae
Source: the annotation of a GenBank genome assembly